GCCGAGGACGAGGCGGCUGCCCUUGCCUUGUAAACAGAAGGUCAGGGGUUCGACUCCCCUCGUCGGCU
Molecule: transfer RNA, 68 nt
Filed under: Streptosporangium album
Lineage: Bacteria; Bacillati; Actinomycetota; Actinomycetes; Streptosporangiales; Streptosporangiaceae
Description: tRNA-Thr
Source: RNAcentral